UACCUAAUAUCGGACGUGAACUCACUAA
Molecule: small RNA, 28 nt
Filed under: Bombyx mori (domestic silkworm)
Lineage: Eukaryota; Metazoa; Arthropoda; Insecta; Lepidoptera; Bombycidae
Description: ovarian small RNA-20818
Source: RNAcentral